RNAcentral lists this non-coding RNA (23 nucleotides) under Mus musculus (house mouse). The record is from RNAcentral. Lineage: Eukaryota; Metazoa; Chordata; Mammalia; Rodentia; Muridae.
UAGCACUGAAUGGCCUCCCUACC